UGCCCUAUAGCUCAAUGGCAGAGCGAGCGGCUGUUAACCGUGAGGUUGCAGGUUCAAGUCCUGCUAGGGCAGCCA
RNAcentral lists this transfer RNA (75 nucleotides) under Leptolyngbya sp. Cla-17. RNAcentral's name for it is "tRNA-Asn". It matches the Rfam family "tRNA". Rfam says of the family: Transfer RNA (tRNA) molecules are approximately 80 nucleotides in length. Their secondary structure includes four short double-helical elements and three loops (D, anti-codon, and T loops). Lineage: Bacteria; Bacillati; Cyanobacteriota; Cyanophyceae; Leptolyngbyales; Leptolyngbyaceae. The record is from RNAcentral.